Acanthosepion pharaonis is the source of this 115-nucleotide non-coding RNA. The record is from the annotation of a GenBank genome assembly. NCBI's taxonomy places the organism in Eukaryota, Metazoa, Mollusca, Cephalopoda, Sepiida, Sepiidae.
UUAUGGCCAUAUCAUGUUGAAACACUAGUUCUCAUAAUGAUCACCAUUGUUAAGCAACAUUGAGCCCAGUCAAUACCUAAAUGGGUGACUACUUGAGAAUACCAGGUGCUGUAAG